UGACUCGUUCAUACUACAGUGAUCACACCAGAUCCCAUCAGAACUCUGAAGUUAAGCACUGUUAGGCUUAGUCUAGUACUGAGGUGGGAGGCCGUUCGGGAACCCUGAGUGACGAGUUAU
Molecule: non-coding RNA, 120 nt
Organism: Hepatocystis sp. ex Piliocolobus tephrosceles
Lineage: Eukaryota; Apicomplexa; Aconoidasida; Haemosporida; Plasmodiidae
Source: the annotation of a GenBank genome assembly